RNAcentral lists this ribosomal RNA (270 nucleotides) under uncultured archaeon. RNAcentral's name for it is "partial 16S ribosomal RNA". It matches the Rfam family "Archaeal small subunit ribosomal RNA", at positions 477 to 747 of the family's 1478-position model. The record is from RNAcentral.
CAGCUCUCCGAGUGGUAGGGAUGAUUAUUGGGCUUAAAGCGUCCGUAGCCUGCUUAGCAAGUCUCCUGUUAAAUUCAGCGACCUAAUCGUUGAGCCGCGGGAGAUACUACUAGGCUAGGAGGCGGGAGAGGUCGACGAUACUUCUGGGGUAGGGGUGAAAUCCUAUAAUCCCGGGAGGACCACCAGUGGCGAAGGCUGUCGACUAGAACGCGCCCGACGGUGAGGGACGAAAGCUGGGGGAGCGAACAGGAUUAGAUACCCUGGUAGUCC